This 468-nucleotide ribosomal RNA is filed under the name uncultured bacterium. Its description in RNAcentral is "partial 16S ribosomal RNA". It matches the Rfam family "Bacterial small subunit ribosomal RNA", at positions 28 to 507 of the family's 1533-position model. The record is from RNAcentral.
GACGAACGCUGGCGGCGUGCUUAACACAUGCAAGUCGAACGGAAAGGCCCUUCUGUUGUGUCGUGCUCCGAACGCGAACGUGACACUAACACGUGCUUCACCUGCCCUUGACUUUAGCAUAAGUUCAUGGAACUAAUACCGAUUACGGACACGCGCUCCUUCUGCUUUGUUGGGAAGGGUUUGUUUCGGCGGUUGGGGAUGGGCUCGCGGCGUAUCAGCUUGUUGGUGGGGUAGUGGCAUACCAAGGCUUUGACGGGUAGCCGGCCUGAGAGGGUGACCGGCCACACUGGGACUGAGAUACGGCCCAGACUCCUACGGGAGGCAGCAGUGGGGAAUAUUGCACAAUGGGCGGAAGCCUGAUGCAGCAACGCCGCGUGCGGGAUGACGGCCUUCGGGUUGUAAACCGCUUUCGCCAGUGACGAAGCGUAAGUGACGGUAAUUGGUAAAGAAGCACCGGCUAACUACGUG